This is a long non-coding RNA of Anolis carolinensis (green anole), 2139 nucleotides long. Lineage: Eukaryota; Metazoa; Chordata; Lepidosauria; Squamata; Anolidae. The record is from Ensembl.
AUGGAGGGGAAUUCCCAACUUCAGUCUCAAAAAUGUGUUCCUGACCAGAGCAAGGAUGCUGCAGAGCUUCAUCCAAGACUUCAGGAAGUUCCUGUCAUGAAUCUGAAGGUUCCUGCCACAGUUCAAGAGACUGCAAGAAUAGAUCAGGUAGUUCCUGCCUCAGUUCCAGAAGUUCCUGCCACAGAGGUGCGGGUUGCUGUCACAGAUCGGGAGGUUCCUGGCAUCACUGUAGAUCUUCCAGCUGCAGUCCCAAGAUUGAGAUCAGCCAUGAAUGAGGCCUCUCCCCAGAUUCAAGUGCCUCAUUCAUUCAUCUCUCCUGGUCCUUGUGCUCAACAGCUAUGCAAGCAGCCAAGCCAGUUCCUGCCUCCAGAUUGUAAAUAAAAGAUUGAAAAUUGCAAGAAGAAUGCUUUCAACUUCUUCAAAUGUGGCUUCGCAACAGUUAUGUGUCCACAGAUACCUGGACAUGAGCUGUCACCUUGAGGUUCUUCAAAUGACUUCUAUCUGCCAGUGCUUUGCUUCUAGCCCUAAGGAAUGAAAUAGGAUUCAUUAUCUACUGUGUGACCAUGUAAUUGUCCUCACUUUGUACAUGACCUUGUUAGCAUCUUAAUUAAUAAAACAAGCAUUCAAAGGAAGAGCCAUCUCUCAUUGCAUUGUGGCAGUUGAUGGGUUCAAUGUCUCGAGGAGGUUUUGUGAAUUAGCUGAAGGCUUCCAACUAAAUGUUGAAGGAUGCUUCAAACCGUGUGAAGCAUAUUGAGGUGUUUGUUCCUAUAUGCAAGUUGAGAUACCAAAUCCUGGUGUUCUUAACCUUGACUAGUGAAUCGCCAUGUAACAUUGGUUCAACGGGUUAGAUCUAUUUGAGACUAACCCAAAGGUUCCAUGGAAUCAUUGAAUCAUAGAGUUGGAAGGGACCACAUGGGCCAUGUAGUCCAACCACCUGCCAGGCAGGAAAAACACAAUCAAAGUACCCCUGACAAAUUGCCAUCCAGCCUCUAUUUAAAAGCCUCCAAGGAAGACGCUUCAACCAUACGCAGAGGCACAAAGCUCCACUGUUGAACAGCUCAUACGGUUGGGAAGUUAUGUUUAGGUGGAGUCUCCUUUUCUAUAAUGUGAACCCAUUGCUCCAAGUCCUAUUCUCCAGGGCAGCAGUUUCUAUCAGAGACAGAGAUUGGGUGUUGGACUAUGAGUUUGAGAGACCAGGUUUCGUAUACCCAGUUGGUCAUGGAAACCAAAUGGAUGGCCUUGGGCUAGUGGUUCUCAACCUAGGGUCCCCAGAUGUUUUUGGCCUACAACUCCCAGAAAUCCCAGCCAGUUUACCAGCUGUUAGGAUUUCUGGGAGUUGAAGGCCAAAAACAUCUGGGGACCCCAGGUUGAGAACCACUGCCUUGGGCAAUUCAGCUUUCUGUCUCAACAGAUGGUAAUGACAGCACGCCUUCUGAAGAAAGCCUACCAAGAAAACCCCAUGAUAGGCUCACCUUAGGGUUACUGUAAGCAGAGCUGGCCCUAGGUAUUUUUCAAGUGUAGGCGAACAGAAUUUUGGUGCGCCCCCCCCCAAACCAAUCAUUGAAAAAUAAAAGCGUUGGAUAAGCAAAAAUGUUGGAUAGUAAGGAGGGAUUAAGGGAAAGCCUAUUAAACAUCAAAUUACAUUAAGAUUUUACAAAUUAAGCACCAAAACAUCAUGUUUUACAACAAAUCAACAAAAAAAGCAGCUCAAUACAUGGUAAUGUUAGGUAGGAAUUACUAUAUUUGCAAAUUUAGCACCAAACAUUGAACAAGGAUACAGGGCAGUGUGGACUUAAGAUAACCCAGAUAGACCACGGUAUCAAAAAAAACUCUAAAAUCAGGACAAUAAAUAAAGAACAACACUCUGAAAACAGGAGAAAUCCAGACAGUAAACAAUCAGGGACAGCUAACACCUCCCAAAAAAAGUUUCUCCUAGGCAAGAAGAAGCCAGGCCUUGAAGCCACAGGGCCAUUAAAUGCAAAUUGAGGUGAUUAAUUAGAGUUCUUUCUCCCACCCUGGACCUUCUACAAAUAUAUAAACCCCACUUACCUCACAAUCUCUGAAGGCCCCAAAGGCGGGCCCAGCGCGGGCACCGGGAGCCCCAAACACCUUCCUGAUGAGGCCUUCCUGGUGAGGCCU